This 446-nucleotide ribosomal RNA is filed under the name uncultured bacterium. Its description in RNAcentral is "bacterial SSU rRNA". It matches the Rfam family "Bacterial small subunit ribosomal RNA", at positions 29 to 524 of the family's 1533-position model. The record is from RNAcentral.
AACGAACGCUGGCGGCAGGCCUAACACAUGCAAGUCGAGCGCCCAGCAAUGGGAGCGGCAGACGGGUGAGUAACGCGUGGGAACCUUCCCAAUGGUACGGAAUAGCUCAGGGAAACUUGAGGUAAUACCGCAUAAGCCCGAAAGGGGAAGAUUUAUCGCCAUUGGAUGGGCCCGCGUAGGAUUAGCUAGUUGGUGAGGUAAUGGCUCACCAAGGCGAUGAUCCUUAGCUAGUGAGAGAAUGACCAGCCACACUGGGACUGAGACACGGCCCAGACUCCUACGGGAGGCAGCAGUGGGGAAUCUUGGACAAUGGGCGAAAGCCUGAUCCAGCCAUGCCGCGUGAGUGACGAAGGUCUUCGGAUUGUAAAGCUCUUUUCGCCAGGGACGAUAAUGACGGUACCUGGAGAAUAAGCCCCGGCUAACUUCGUGCCAGCCGCCGCCGUAAU